GGGGCUAUAGCUCAGCUGGGAGAGCGCCUGCUUUGCACGCAGGAGUCUGCGGUUCGAUCCGCAUAGCUCCACCA
RNAcentral lists this transfer RNA (74 nucleotides) under Escherichia coli DEC9D. Its description in RNAcentral is "tRNA-Ala". It matches the Rfam family "tRNA". Rfam says of the family: Transfer RNA (tRNA) molecules are approximately 80 nucleotides in length. Lineage: Bacteria; Pseudomonadati; Pseudomonadota; Gammaproteobacteria; Enterobacterales; Enterobacteriaceae. The record is from RNAcentral.